Molecule: long non-coding RNA, 1007 nt
Organism: Paramormyrops kingsleyae
Lineage: Eukaryota; Metazoa; Chordata; Actinopteri; Osteoglossiformes; Mormyridae
Source: RefSeq, a predicted model, not a curated record
AACAAAGGGACACUUCAACUUGCAGAGUGUCUAAACCUGUACGUUUGGGGAAUAACGGCUCUGAAAAUAGAAGCCAAACCAGUGAAGCAGGAAGCUCUUCACAACAGCCAGUAUCAGAUUACACAAACACAAUAAGAAAGAAAUGGACACAAGAUGAGGUUAAAGCAGUGGAAGACAUGUUGAUGGACUACAUCACAUCUGGCAGGGUUCCAGGUAAGACAGUGUGAAGAAUGUAUUAGGUCAACUCCGGAAGCUCUCAGAGAUAGAACCUGGGAAGACAUUACAUUUUAUGUCAAGAACCAGAUUGUGGCGCUUCAACGGGAGUGUAAGGAAGGAUGAAAAGAUGAAGUGGAUUUGAGGACUGAAUCAAUCAGAUUUUUUACAGUGAUAAUUAUCUCCUCGUUUUUUGUCCUUCCAAAGGUAUCUAAAGGGGAGUUUUUACUGGCUUUUUAUAUAUAUUUACAAUAAUAUUUGACCUCCCAGGAUUUUUUUCUCCAUUUACAUAGAUAAAUAUUACAAAAGGGGAGAUUUUUUUUACUGUUAACAGUGUUAAAGGUAGUUUCAUUAACGGAGAUAAUUGUUCGUCCGUUUUUUUUUUUUUUUACCUAUUCACAGUAAUACAUGUUUGAAAAAGGCAGGUUCUGUUUACUAUUUACGGUGUUAAUUGUCAUUCCAAAUGUGUCAAGGGGGGGAUUUUUUCGUUGGUUUUUUUUUUUUUUUUUGCUUUUUACAGUGUUAAAUGUUUUUUUAUGUUUAUACUGAUAGUCAACCUCCCAAAUGUGUCAAAAGGGGAAAAAAAGUUUGUUUGUAUAACAUCACCUGCUGAAUGAAUACAAAUGAUUAUUAACUUUUGUGGCCCUGUGUUAACGGCAUCUUCUGCCUUUCAUUCACUAUUAAUUGUUUCUAUUACUAUUGUUACCAUAAUCUUUUGCUUGAUUCUUUUUCAACCACUUUAUGUGACAUCACUGUAUAAUCACAUCAUCACUAGAAUUUAAAUGUCAUUUGAA